UCUGCUUCUCUUAACAGUAUUCGUGCCUGUGAAUUAACCUGUAUGGUUCCCGGGCAAUGAUGAGGUGGGAAGCAAAGAGGAACGUUCCUCUCGCUAUCCAGUGCGGAAUUUCUAGUGUUGCUAUUGGACGUCGAGGAACUACACUU
Hordeum vulgare subsp. vulgare (domesticated barley) is the source of this 146-nucleotide non-coding RNA. The record is from Rfam. Lineage: Eukaryota; Viridiplantae; Streptophyta; Magnoliopsida; Poales; Poaceae.